AUGCAGUCGAGCGGCCCCUACAUACGGGAGACGGCAGACGGGAGAGUCCACGUGGGAACGCGCCCUUCGGUUCGGAAUAACCCAGGGAAACUUGGGCUAAUACCGGCUACGUCCGCAAGGAGAAAGAUUUAUUGCCACAGGAUCGGCCCGCGUCCGAUUAGCUAGUUGGUGAGGUAAUGGCUCACCAAGGCGACGAUCGGUAGCUGGUCUGAGAGGAUGAUCAGCCUCACUGGGACUGAGACACGGCCCAGACUCCUACGGGAGGCAGCAGUGGG
This 275-nucleotide ribosomal RNA is filed under the name uncultured Hyphomicrobiales bacterium. RNAcentral's name for it is "uncultured Rhizobiales bacterium partial 16S ribosomal RNA". It matches the Rfam family "Bacterial small subunit ribosomal RNA", at positions 55 to 358 of the family's 1533-position model. The record is from RNAcentral. Lineage: Bacteria; Pseudomonadati; Pseudomonadota; Alphaproteobacteria; Hyphomicrobiales.